CCCCUCUCAGGGUUGCACCUGGAGAGUUUCCAGGAACCUACCAGUUUCAGCUACAGGAGGGAGAGUCAAGCAGAGGCCUGUCCAUUCCAUUCCUAGCUGGAGCAGUGGCUAGCAAGUGGGAGGCAAUCUGCUACAAGU
Ornithorhynchus anatinus (platypus) is the source of this 138-nucleotide small nucleolar RNA. The record is from RefSeq and is a predicted model, not a curated record. NCBI's taxonomy places the organism in Eukaryota, Metazoa, Chordata, Mammalia, Monotremata, Ornithorhynchidae.